RNAcentral lists this ribosomal RNA (429 nucleotides) under uncultured bacterium. RNAcentral describes it as "bacterial SSU rRNA". It matches the Rfam family "Bacterial small subunit ribosomal RNA", at positions 355 to 775 of the family's 1533-position model. The record is from RNAcentral.
UGGGGAAUUGUUCGCAAUGGGCGCAAGCCUGACGACGCAACGCCGCGUGGAGGAUGAAGACUUUCGGGUCGUAAACUCCUUUCGAUCGGGACGAAUGAUCGGUGACCUAACACGUCAUCGAAAUGACGGUACCGAGAGAAGAAGCCCCGGCUAACUCCGUGCCAGCAGCCGCGGUAAUACGGGGGGGGCAAGCGUUGUUCGGAAUUACUGGGCGUAAAGGGCGCGUAGGCGGCCAUCUAAGUCGGACGUGAAAUCCCUCGGCUUAACCGAGGAACUGCGUCCGAUACUGGAAGGCUUGAAUCCGGGAGAGGGAUGUGGAAUUCCAGGUGUAGCGGUGAAAUGCGUAGAUAUCUGGAGGAACACCGGUGGCGAAGGCGGCAUCCUGGACCGGCAUUGACGCUGAGGCGCGAAAGCUAGGGGAGCAAACGG